This 1547-nucleotide long non-coding RNA is filed under the name Bemisia tabaci. RNAcentral's name for it is "lncRNA ENSSSA3NGG011708". Lineage: Eukaryota; Metazoa; Arthropoda; Insecta; Hemiptera; Aleyrodidae. The record is from RNAcentral.
UAGUAAGUUCGGUUUGGCAGAAAUACGUGCAAUUUCAUUCUUCUUUGCAGGUCGUUUUAGUCAAAUUUGGAUCCAAGUCUGCGAGGCACCGGUGAAUUUGUUGUCCUUCAGGAGCCUCCAGACAAAUUAGAGAGUGAAUUCGGAGAACCGGAUCGACACACCAGUGAUGGGAAUCCAGAAAUCGUGAUUAUUCAAGGGAAGAUCAGAAUUUAUGAGCCACCAUUGCGUGGACCAAAAACCUCGAAAUCUCAAAGCGUGGAGGGGACUGGAAAUACCACCGAUUUUAAAGAUUUUUCAAAUCGCCCAAGCGAUGUUUCGGAGGCAUUCGACGGCUCUCCACGAAAGAAGUGACAGACUUGCGAAUGUGUUCGAAAGGAGUGUUGGGAAAAAUUGUCCUCAACCCUGAUUGGAACGUUUACCUACACACGAUCUUGGGACUGAAUACUAUAAAGGAUGUUCAUGGAAUCGGGCAAUCAGUACAACCAGUCGCGAUCCAAUCUAUGCAGCUAAAUCCUGAGCAUUUGGAAAAUCAGAAAAAAGCCUCAAAAGUUGAUUUUUUCAUUGAUCGAGAUAUUGGCCGCUUUCAAUGCGUUGGGGUGAUAAUAGACGGCUUCAAAACGAAGGUAAUACCCAGAAAAGUUGAAAAAUCCGGAGGAAUCCACGCGGAGCGCCUCUAUUUUGUGCCUUAUACGAAGGGCAUAUUCAAGAGCCUACAUGACUAUGCGCGUGCAAGUCUCCAAAUUAUAGUUGAAAAUUCGGAUCAAUUUGCAAUUAAUUUGGGAAAAUCGAUCAAAAUCAAAGUAUUUUACAAGGAUGACAGAAAAUCAGCUCAACCGCUCCUUGACUUGUAUGCCAAAGUUCUUCAGGAUUGUAACGACCUAAAUGUAGAAUUUGUGCCCACUCAACUCUCUACAAAGCACGAUUCAAAAAUUUCUACCAGUAUCACUUACAUCUCUGAUCCGAAAGAAUUAACGCACCUGCCAAACGGGGAGGACGCUGAGAACGCCUAUUUGUUUGUGGCGGUGCCUUCCAAGGUCCAGAUCAAAAGUAUUGUUGACACUGCCUCAAAAUUUAAACGAAAAUAUGGUGUAAUAUAUGAACAACAAUUUAAUUCUCACAAUUAUGGACUUUUAAAAAAGAAUAAAUCAGGGCAGAAAUGGAAAGUGUGUCACGUUUCAAAAAGCGUGCUUUCAACGUUGGAUGAUUUGAACUCAGAUGGAAAGACUAUAAACGACGGUUUUGUUUUAGUCGUUCCAAAGUCUCAGUGCGUAAAUCCUACAGUUAUGAUGCCAAAAAUUUUGAAAAAGGCUCGGAAAAUAAAAUCAGGUAUGUGCUCCAAGCGUUGUAUUCAAAGUUUCUCCAUCGGAUAAAAAUAAUUAUUCAAAUUCCACCUGUACUUGCUGAUUGCGAUGCCAAUGCUCUAGCAAUUGCUAUACAAUGAGAAGUAUAAACAUAUUUUAAAUCAAAAAGUUGUAUUCGGACUGCUUGAUUUUCUGAGAUAUUGAAAUUGAGGGGCUAAAAGGACAACACGCAUUAGUGCAGUUUUU